AUUGAACGCUGGCGGCAGGCCUAACACAUGCAAGUCGAACGCGUGGCGGACGUGUGAGUAAUGUCUGGGACACUGCCUGAUGGAGGGGGCUCACUACUGGAAACGGUAGCUAAUCCCGCAUACACUCAUAUGUGCCCAGAUGGGUUUAGCUAGUGGGUGGGGUAACGGCUCACAAAGGCGACGCUCCCUAGCUGGUCUGAGAGGAUGCACAGCCACACUGGAACUGAGACACGGUCCAGACUCCUAGGGGAGGCAGCAGUGGGGAAUAUUGCACAAUGGGCGCAAGCCUGAUGCAGCCAUGCCGCGUGUAUGAAGAAGGCCUUCGGGUUGUAAAGUACUUUCAGCGGGGAGGCGUUACCCGCAGAAGAAGCACCGGCUAACUCCGUGCCAGCAGCCGCGGUAAUUC
Molecule: ribosomal RNA, 406 nt
Filed under: uncultured bacterium
Lineage: Bacteria
Description: partial 16S ribosomal RNA
Rfam family: Bacterial small subunit ribosomal RNA
Source: RNAcentral